UGGGGAAUUGUUCACAAUGGGCGCAAGCCUGAUGACGCAACGCCGCGUGGGGGAUGAAGGUCUUCGGAUUGUAAACCCCUGUCGAACGGGACGAACGGCCUCUGGGCUAAUCACCAGAGGAGUGACGGUACCGUUAAAGGAAGCCACGGCUAACUCUGUGCCAGCAGCCGCGGUAAUACAGAGGUGGCAAGCGUUGUUCGGAAUUACUGGGCGUAAAGGGCGCGUAGGCGGCCAUCUAAGUCAGACGUGAAAUCCCCCGGCUUAACCUGGGAACUGCGUCCGAUACUGGAGGGCUCGAGUUUGGGAGAGGGAUGUGGAAUUCCAGGUGUAGCGGUGAAAUGCGUAGAUAUCUGGAGGAACACCGGUGGCGAAGGCGGCAUCCUGGACCAACACUGACGCUGAGGCGCGAAAAGCUAGGGGAGCAAAACGGGAUUAGAUACCCCGGUAGUCCUAGCCCUAAACGAUGAAUGCUUGGUGUGGCGGGUAUCGAUCCCUGCCGUGCCGAAGCUAACG
Molecule: ribosomal RNA, 513 nt
Filed under: uncultured Acidobacteriota bacterium
Lineage: Bacteria; Pseudomonadati; Acidobacteriota
Description: bacterial SSU rRNA
Rfam family: Bacterial small subunit ribosomal RNA
Source: RNAcentral